ACGAACGCUGGCGGCGCGCCUAACACAUGCAAGUCGAACGAGCGAGAGAGAGCUUGCUUUCUUGAGCGAGUGGCGAACGGGUGAGUAACGCGUGAGGAACCUGCCUCAAAGAGGGGGACAACAGUUGGAAACGACUGCUAAUACCGCAUAAGCCCACGGUGCCGCAUGGCACAGAGGGAAAAGGAGCAAUCCGCUUUGAGAUGGCCUCGCGUCCGAUUAGCUAGUUGGUGAGGUAACGGCCCACCAAGGCGACGAUCGGUAGCCGGACUGAGAGGUUGAACGGCCACAUUGGGACUGAGACACGGCCCAGACUCCUACGGGAGGCAGCAGUGGGGAAUAUUGCACAAUGGGGGAAACCCUGAUGCAGCGACGCCGCGUGGAGGAAGAAGGUCUUCGGAUUGUAAACUCCUGUUGUUGGGGAAGAUAAUGACGGUACCCAAAAAGGAAGUGACGGCUAACUACGUG
RNAcentral lists this ribosomal RNA (465 nucleotides) under uncultured bacterium. Its description in RNAcentral is "partial 16S ribosomal RNA". It matches the Rfam family "Bacterial small subunit ribosomal RNA", at positions 29 to 507 of the family's 1533-position model. The record is from RNAcentral.